Molecule: ribosomal RNA, 427 nt
Filed under: uncultured bacterium
Lineage: Bacteria
Description: partial 16S ribosomal RNA
Rfam family: Bacterial small subunit ribosomal RNA
Source: RNAcentral
UGGGGAAUAUUGCACAAUGGGCGCAAGCCUGAUGCAGCCAUGCCGCGUGUGUGAAGAAGGCCUUCGGGUUGUAAAGCACUUUCAGCGAGGAGGAAGGCAGUCGUGUUAAUAGCACGAUUGAUUGACGUUACUCGCCGAAGAAGCACCGGCUAACUCCGUGCCAGCAGCCGCGGUAAUACGGAGGGUGCAAGCGUUAAUCGGAAUUACUGGGCGUAAAGCGCACGCAGGCGGUUUGUUAAGUCAGAUGUGAAAUCCGCGCGCUUAACGUGGGAACUGCAUUUGAAACUGGCAAGCUAGAGUCUUGUAGAGGGGGGUAGAAUUCCAGGUGUAGCGGUGAAAUGCGUAGAGAUCUGGAGGAAUACCGGUGGCGAAGGCGGCCCCCUGGACAAAGACUGACGCUCAGGUGCGAAAGCGUGGGGAGCAAACA